RNAcentral lists this long non-coding RNA (1151 nucleotides) under Mus musculus (house mouse). Its description in RNAcentral is "predicted gene 14461". The record is from RNAcentral. Lineage: Eukaryota; Metazoa; Chordata; Mammalia; Rodentia; Muridae.
GGGGGUUUAUGACAAAGUUGAGCGACCUCAUGUCACUCAAACCAGCUGUAUUAAGGAAGGUGCAAGCUUUUGGGAUUUCUGUUUGGAUUUAGUUUAGGUUCAAAAGAGCACGCACAGAUCCUGAGUGUUGUCAAGCACCCGUGACUGGGAAACGGAGGCGUCCGAUCCGUAUUGGAGUCAAUUCGCCACUUAAUUGAAAAACCCUUUGAAAAGAUUCAGCACGUUGCCAUGGAGAACAUCCCACUGAAGGAAUGUAUAGAAGUAGCAGGUGUCAGCUGCCUACCAGUUGCUUUCAUCUCUAGAAAUCUGUGACUUGCAGUAUGACAAGAACAAAAGGUGACAAUACAAAGGACAAAGGGCAAGGAAUACAGACGGAGAAGCCGCUUAGAGUCUAGGAUGGCAGAGGUUCUCUUGAUCAUUUCAUUUUUGAGCGCUUGUAGAGCUUUGGUGUACCAGAGGUGCUUGAACAGCUUACCACACCACAGAUGAAUGGCCUUUGGAUUUCUCCUAAGAAAAUGUGGCUACCUGAAAUUCAACUCCAUUUUCUGGUCUUCAAUAUUUCUUUUGUGUUCAGUUUGCCAGCUGAGGAGAAGUGGCUAAGCAUAGCCUGUUACUGAUGCUAAAGCCCAAGUUCUGAACCUAACAACUCCAGCAACAUGAUCCUGUUUCAAGAGACAAAAAAGUGACUAAUGAAAGAAAACAAUUGAUGUGCUAUGUAGAGUUUAAAAGAAGGGUGGCUCAUUAAUGGGACCUCUCCAGAGGAAGUAAAGAUGAAGUAUUGGCAGCUUCCUUUUGGUGACAUUGUCUCUGGCUCAUACCUACCAAGGCUUCUUUCUAUUCGAGGCUCUCCAGUAGAAAUCCUAGCCUGUAAUAUGCAUUUCAAGAUCAAGAAGGGAAAACUCUUUAAUAAUUGAUAAUUUUUCUGGAAAAUAUGGAAGUCUUAGGUGAUAGAGGUCUGUCGUCCAGAGCAGGAUGAUCCUGUUUGGAAGUUCCCUCACAGACACAUCUAUCUGUAGGUGUGCCUCACGAACUGCCUGGUGAUUAUAAACACAGUCAGGUUGGCAAUGAUGAUGAACCAUAACCAGAAGAGAUGUUGAUGAGAGUAGCUGACUCACCACAGCGUGCCUAAGACAAUUAAAUUUUAUCACUCA